AUGCUUGUUUCAGCAGCACAUACACUAAAAUUGGAACGAUACAGAGAAGAUUCGCAUGCCACUGGGCAAGGACGACAUGCAAAUUUCUUAAAUGUUUCACAUUUUU
This is a small nuclear RNA of Loxodonta africana (African savanna elephant), 106 nucleotides long. The record is from Ensembl. Lineage: Eukaryota; Metazoa; Chordata; Mammalia; Proboscidea; Elephantidae.